GAUAUUGGACAAUGGGCGAAAGCCUGAUCCAGCCAGGCCGCGAGUGUGAAGAAGGACUUCGGAUUGUAAAGCACUUUAAGUUGGGAGGAAGGGUUGUAGGUUAAUACCCUGCACUUUUGACGUUACCGACAGAAUAAGCACCGGCUAACUUCGUGCCAGCAGCCGCGGUAAUACGAAGGGUGCAAGCGUUAAUCGGAAUUACGGGGCGUAAAGCGCGCGUAGGUGGGUCCGUAAGUUGGGAGUUAAAGCCCCGGGAUUAACCUGGGAAUUGCUUUCAAAACUGACGAGCUAGAGUACGGUAGAGGGUAGUGGAAUUUCCUGUGUAGCGGUGAAAUGCGUAGAUAUAGGAAGGAACAUCAGUGGCGAAGGCGACUACCUGGACUGAUACUGACACUGAGGUGCGAAAGCGUGGGGAGCAAACA
Molecule: ribosomal RNA, 422 nt
Filed under: uncultured bacterium
Lineage: Bacteria
Description: partial 16S ribosomal RNA
Rfam family: Bacterial small subunit ribosomal RNA
Source: RNAcentral